This 253-nucleotide ribosomal RNA is filed under the name uncultured bacterium. RNAcentral describes it as "partial 16S ribosomal RNA". It matches the Rfam family "Bacterial small subunit ribosomal RNA", at positions 524 to 776 of the family's 1533-position model. The record is from RNAcentral.
UACGUAGGGUGCAAGCGUUGUCCGGAAUUAUUGGGCGUAAAGAGCUCGUAGGCGGUUCGUCACGUCGGCUGUGAAAUCCCGAGGCUCAACCUCGGGCCUGCAGUGGGUACGGGCAGACUGGAGUGCGGUAGGGGAGAAUGGAAUUCCUGGUGUAGCGGUGGAAUGCGCAGAUAUCAGGAGGAACACCGGUGGCGAAGGCGGGUCUCUGGGCCGAUACUGACGCUGAGGAGCAAAAGCGUGGGGAGCGAACAGG